UGGAAUUCUCUUGUGAUUGUUUCCUUGGUGGAGAAAGAUCAGCUGAUGAUCCUUUCAAAGAUCUCCUGGGAGGCGAAAGAUCACCAGCAGGAGACUCUCUAGCUCUAACAUUCUCUUGUAACUGACGGCGGCGAGGAGGAGAUAGGUCGCGCGCCACAGAUUCCCUACUCUUCCUCGGUGGAGAAAGGUCGACUGACGACCCCUUUGAAGAUCUUCUCGGGGGUGAAAG
RNAcentral lists this unclassified non-coding RNA (229 nucleotides) under Hevea brasiliensis (rubber tree). Lineage: Eukaryota; Viridiplantae; Streptophyta; Magnoliopsida; Malpighiales; Euphorbiaceae. The record is from RNAcentral.